UUCAUGGAGAGUUUGAUCCUGGCUCAGGACGAACGCUGGCGGCGUGCCUAAUACAUGCAAGUCGAGCGGAGUUAUCCCUUCGGGGAUAGCUUAGCGGCGGACGGGUGAGUAACACGUAGGUAACCUGCCUGUAAGACCGGGAUAACAUUCGGAAACGAAUGCUAAUACCGG
This 171-nucleotide ribosomal RNA is filed under the name Paenibacillus phyllosphaerae. RNAcentral describes it as "Bacterial small subunit ribosomal RNA". It matches the Rfam family "Bacterial small subunit ribosomal RNA", at positions 1 to 172 of the family's 1533-position model. Lineage: Bacteria; Bacillati; Bacillota; Bacilli; Caryophanales; Paenibacillaceae. The record is from Rfam by way of RNAcentral.